Molecule: ribosomal RNA, 253 nt
Filed under: uncultured bacterium
Lineage: Bacteria
Description: partial 16S ribosomal RNA
Rfam family: Bacterial small subunit ribosomal RNA
Source: RNAcentral
UACAGAGACUGCAAGCGUUAUUCGGAUUCACUGGGCGUAAAGGGUGCGCAGGUGGUUGUGUGUGUCAGAUGUGAAAUCCCGGAGCUUAACUCCGGAACUGCGUCUGAAACUGCACGACUAGAGCAUUGGAGAGGGUAGUGGAAUUCACGGUGUAGCAGUGAAAUGCGUAGAUAUCGUGAGGAACACCAGAGGCGAAGGCGACUACCUGGCCUGCAACUGACGCUGAGACGCGAAAGCGUGGGGAGCAAACAGG